Molecule: ribosomal RNA, 469 nt
Filed under: Brookesia tuberculata (Mount d'Ambre leaf chameleon)
Lineage: Eukaryota; Metazoa; Chordata; Lepidosauria; Squamata; Chamaeleonidae
Description: partial 16S ribosomal RNA
Rfam family: Bacterial large subunit ribosomal RNA
Source: RNAcentral
GUAACGCCUGCCCUGUGGAGACCCUAAACGGCCGCGGCAUAAAACCGUGCAAAGGUAGCACAAUCACUUGUCCCCUAAAUGAGGACCUGUAUGAAAGGCAAUAUGAGAGAGGACCUGUCUCCUGGGGUAGACCAAUGAAAUUGAACAACCAGUACAAAAGCUGGUAUGAUUAAGCAAGACAAAAAGACCCCAUGGAACUUUCAACACACCAUUAAUAAGCCUUAAUGAGAGUUUCGGUUGGGACAACCACAGAAAAACUAAACAUCUAAACCUAACAAGACCAACGGGUCUAAAAACUACAAACUGAUCCAGUCAAACUGACCAAUGAAACAAGCUACCCUGGGGAUAACAGCGCCACCUUCUUAAAGAGUCCUUAUCAACAAGAAGAUCUACGACCUCGAUGUUGGAUCAGGGUAUCCUGACGGUGUAGCAGCUGUCAAUGGUUCGUUUGUUCAACGAUUAACACCCU